UACGUAGGGUGCGAGCGUUGUCCGGAAUUAUUGGGCGUAAAGAGCUUGUAGGCGGUUUGUCGCGUCUGCCGUGAAAAUUCGAGGCUCAACCUCGAACUUGCGGUGGGUACGGGCAGACUAGAGUGUGGUAGGGGAGACUGGAAUUCCUGGUGUAGCGGUGAAAUGCGCAGAUAUCAGGAGGAACACCGAUGGCGAAGGCAGGUCUCUGGGCCACUACUGACGCUGAGAAGCGAAAGCAUGGGGAGCAAACAGG
RNAcentral lists this ribosomal RNA (253 nucleotides) under uncultured bacterium. Its description in RNAcentral is "partial 16S ribosomal RNA". It matches the Rfam family "Bacterial small subunit ribosomal RNA", at positions 524 to 776 of the family's 1533-position model. The record is from RNAcentral.